CCUACGGGAGGCAGCAGUAAGGAAUAUUGGUCAAUGGGCGCAAGCCUGAACCAGCCAUGCCGCGUGCAGGAAGACGGCCCUAUGGGUUGUAAACUGCUUUUGAACAAGAGAAAACCUCGGUACGUGUACCGAGCUGAUAGUAUUGUUAGAAUAAGCAUCGGCUAACUUCGUGCCAGCAGCCGCGGUAAGACGAAGGAUGCAAGCGUUAUCCGGAUUCAUUGGGUUUAAAGGGUGCGUAGGCGGCCUGAUAAGUCAGUGGUGAAAUCUCUCAGCUUAACUGAGAAACUGCCAUUGAUACUGUCGGGCUUGAGUACAGAUGAUGUGGGCGGAAUAUGACAUGUAGUGGUGAAAUACUUAGAUAUGUCAUAGAACACCGAUUGCGAAGGCAGCUCACAAAACUGUAACUGACGCUGAGCGACGAAGUAGNGGGAGUACAACAGAGUAGUAUACCUACGUAGUCGCGACCGUAACG
Molecule: ribosomal RNA, 472 nt
Filed under: uncultured bacterium
Lineage: Bacteria
Description: bacterial SSU rRNA
Rfam family: Bacterial small subunit ribosomal RNA
Source: RNAcentral